This 1372-nucleotide ribosomal RNA is filed under the name uncultured bacterium. Its description in RNAcentral is "bacterial SSU rRNA". It matches the Rfam family "Bacterial small subunit ribosomal RNA", at positions 28 to 1381 of the family's 1533-position model. The record is from RNAcentral.
GAUGAACGCUGGCGGCGUGCCUAAUACAUGCAAGUCGAGCGAACGGACGAGAAGCUUGCUUCUCCGAUGUUAGCGGCGGACGGGUGAGUAACACGUGGAUAACCUACCUAUAAGACUGGGAUAACUUCGGGAAACCGGAGCUAAUACCGGAUAAUAUUUUGAACCGCAUGGUUCAAAAGUGAAAGACGGUCUUGCUGUCACUUAUAGAUGGAUCCGCGCUGCAUUAGCUAGUUGGUAAGGUAACGGCUUACCAAGGCAACGAUGCAUAGCCGACCUGAGAGGGUGAUCGGCCACACUGGAACUGAGACACGGUCCAGACUCCUACGGGAGGCAGCAGUAGGGAAUCUUCCGCAAUGGGCGAAAGCCUGACGGAGCAACGCCGCGUGAGUGAUGAAGGUCUUCGGAUCGUAAAACUCUGUUAUUAGGGAAGAACAUAUGUGUAAGUAACUGUGCACAUCUUGACGGUACCUAAUCAGAAAGCCACGGCUAACUACGUGCCAGCAGCCGCGGUAAUACGUAGGUGGCAAGCGUUAUCCGGAAUUAUUGGGCGUAAAGCGCGCGUAGGCGGUUUUUUAAGUCUGAUGUGAAAGCCCACGGCUCAACCGUGGAGGGUCAUUGGAAACUGGAAAACUUGAGUGCAGAAGAGAAAAGUGGAAUUCCAUGUGUAGCGGUGAAAUGCGCAGAGAUAUGGAGGAACACCAGUGGCGAAGGCGACUUUCUGGUCUGUAACUGACGCUGAUGUGCGAAAGCGUGGGGAUCAAACAGGAUUAGAUACCCUGGUAGUCCACGCCGUAAACGAUGAGUGCUAAGUGUUAGGGGGUUUCCGCCCCUUAGUGCUGCAGCUAACGCAUUAAGCACUCCGCCUGGGGAGUACGACCGCAAGGUUGAAACUCAAAGGAAUUGACGGGGACCCGCACAAGCGGUGGAGCAUGUGGUUUAAUUCGAAGCAACGCGAAGAACCUUACCAAAUCUUGACAUCCUUUGACAACUCUAGAGAUAGAGCCUUCCCCUUCGGGGGACAAAGUGACAGGUGGUGCAUGGUUGUCGUCAGCUCGUGUCGUGAGAUGUUGGGUUAAGUCCCGCAACGAGCGCAACCCUUAAGCUUAGUUGCCAUCAUUAAGUUGGGCACUCUAAGUUGACUGCCGGUGACAAACCGGAGGAAGGUGGGGAUGACGUCAAAUCAUCAUGCCCCUUAUGAUUUGGGCUACACACGUGCUACAAUGGACAAUACAAAGGGCAGCGAAACCGCGAGGUCAAGCAAAUCCCAUAAAGUUGUUCUCAGUUCGGAUUGUAGUCUGCAACUCGACUACAUGAAGCUGGAAUCGCUAGUAAUCGUAGAUCAGCAUGCUACGGUGAAUACGUUCCCGGGUCU